AGAAUGUUAAGUUUUCCUGAAUAAACUGCUAGAAGAAGAGCGUUGGUGUUGCGUCGUCAUUGCUGGUCAAAGGCGAACGCGACAUAUAAUGAUAUUGAAACCUAAAAUAAGAGAUGAAAAAUAAUAAAAGAAGAGAUUAUCAGCAUAGGAAGAGGUCAGGCAAGCAGCCAGCACCAGUUCAUGUCAAAGCCAACAUUCAUAAAGGCAUAAAAGAUGGGGAGAAGAAGAGCAGCUGCAUACUGACAGCUUGGACCAAUAAAGGGAAGAGAGGGGAAGUGUCUGGAUUAAUUAGAACAGGGAGACAGGACAUAUUCAGGAAAAGACAAGCCUUCACAGACAAUAGCAUUUGACACAG
Molecule: long non-coding RNA, 355 nt
Organism: Heterocephalus glaber (naked mole-rat)
Lineage: Eukaryota; Metazoa; Chordata; Mammalia; Rodentia; Bathyergidae
Source: Ensembl